GAGGAGAGGAUGGUACCCGGUGGUAUUCACGGGCUUCAAACCCGAUGGGGGGCGGUGAAACCGUCCCUGGCAGGUUCGACUCCUGCCCUCUCCGC
This is a non-coding RNA of Thioalkalivibrio denitrificans, 95 nucleotides long. NCBI's taxonomy places the organism in Bacteria, Pseudomonadati, Pseudomonadota, Gammaproteobacteria, Chromatiales, Ectothiorhodospiraceae. The record is from Rfam.